GACGAACCGUGCGAACGUUGUUCGGAAUCACUGGGCUUAAAGGGCGCGUAGGCGGGCCAUAAAGUCAGGGGUGAAAUCCUCCAGCUUAACUGGAGAACUGCCUUUGAUACUGAUGGUCUCGAGUAAGGUAGGGGCAUGCGGAACUGAUGGUGGAGCGGUGAAAUGUGUUGAUAUCAUCAGGAACUCCGGUGGCGAAGGCGGCAUGCUGGACCUUCACUGACGCUGAGGCGCGAAAGCUAGGGUAGCGAACGGG
RNAcentral lists this ribosomal RNA (253 nucleotides) under uncultured bacterium. RNAcentral's name for it is "partial 16S ribosomal RNA". It matches the Rfam family "Bacterial small subunit ribosomal RNA", at positions 524 to 776 of the family's 1533-position model. The record is from RNAcentral.